CCUACGGGAGGCAGCAGUGGGGAAUAUUGCACAAUGGGGGAAACCCUGAUGCAGCGACGCCGCGUGAGUGAGGAAGUCUUUCGGUAUGUAAAGCUCUAUCAGCAGGGAAGAAAAUUACGGUACCUGACUAAUAAGCCCCGGCUAACUACGUUCCAGCAGCCGCGGUCAUACGUCGGGGGCAAGCGUUAUCCGGAUUUACUGGGUGUAACGGGAGCGUAGGAGGCUAAUCAAGUCAGAAGUGAAAACCCAGGGCUCAACCUUGGGACUGCUUUUGAAACUGAGUAGCUAGAGUGCAGGAGAGGUAAGCGGAAUUCCGAGUGUAGCGGUGAAAUGCGUAGAUAUUAGGAGGAACACCAGUGGCGAAGGCGGCUUACUGGACUGUAACUGACGUUGAGGCUCGAAAGCGUGGGGAGCAAACAGGAUUAGAUACCCCUGUAGUC
This 440-nucleotide ribosomal RNA is filed under the name uncultured bacterium. RNAcentral's name for it is "partial 16S ribosomal RNA". It matches the Rfam family "Bacterial small subunit ribosomal RNA", at positions 338 to 795 of the family's 1533-position model. The record is from RNAcentral.